Callithrix jacchus (white-tufted-ear marmoset) is the source of this 2553-nucleotide long non-coding RNA. Lineage: Eukaryota; Metazoa; Chordata; Mammalia; Primates; Cebidae. The record is from Ensembl.
UCUGCCUCACCAAAACUAAUGGCAUCUUUUACAUGUUUUAAAUUGCUUAUAUGCUGGGUACAGUGGCUCAUGCCUGUAAUCCCAGCACUUUGGGAGCCCAAGGCAGGCAGAUCACAUGAGGUCAGGAGUUUGUGACCAGAAAGGUGAAACCCUGUCUCUACUACAAAUAAAAAAAUUAGCCAGGUGUGGUGGUGUGUGCCUGUAAUCCCAGUUACUUGGGAGGCUGAGGCAGGAGAAUCACUUGAACCCAGGAGGUGGAGGUUUUGCAUUGACCCAAUAUCACACCACUGCACUUCAACCUGGCUAACAGAGCAAGACUCUUUCUCAAAAAAAUUUAAAAAUAAAAAAUAAAAAUAAAUUUUAAAAUUUGCUUAUAUUUUUAUAGGCUGAGCUGUCUUUGGAAGACCUACAAUGAAAGAGGAAUAGAUUUUGAUCAAGAAAUGGAGAAGAUUUCAAUGGUGUUAAAGAUGGUGGCAGAUGGGGAGAGAUGGAAUUAGAAAAUCACCACCUGGAAAGACCACAGUCAUAAUCGUUUCAGGUGAGAAUCCUCAAAGGAUGCUAAAAGUGUUGGGUGAAUGUCUGAUUAGGACCAGGAUACUUAUUUUCAAAGCACCUCCUUAUAAGAUACUGCACUAUUUGCAAAGGGGAAAAAAUAACUGUAGUAAUUAAUCAAAGUAAAUCUCACUAGGACAGAUCAACAUCCUGAUAUAUGCAUGAAAAAUGUGCAACCUUCAUCUACUUAGGAAGACCUAUCAGACAAACCCAAAGUGAGGCACAUUGAACACCAGAGCAGGCCUGUAUUCUUCAACAGUGUCAAGGUCAUGAAAGAAAAAGAAAGACCAAAGAACCACUACAGAUGAAAGGAAGAGAACAGGACAAUUAAAUGCAAUGUGAGAUCCUUGACUGGACUGGACCAGAAUAAAAACAUUAGUGGGACAACUGAAAAAAUUGGAAUAUCUAAAGAUUAGAUGAUAGCGACAUAUCAGUUGAUUUCCUGAUGUUGAUCUUUGAACUCAUUUUACUCACAUCAUUGUGACUGUGUAAGAUGUUUAAAUUUGGGAAGUCAGAAUAAAGGAUAUACAGUAAUAUUUUUAUAUUCUUUAAAGCUAUAAAUGAUUUCAAAACGAAAAGUUAAAAAAAAAAUCAAAGCACUACUUUUCUGUGGGUAGACAAUAUGUCCAUCUGGUUUUGAACUUGGUAAUUUCAGUUGAACGUGAUAGUUGUGUGUUUUACAGCACACUUCUAACAGUGUCUUUAGUCACCCAGAAGCUGAGAUUAGGUGAUUCAGACUAGGUGAUUAAAUUUCACGAUACACUCCAUGGAUGCAGUCAUAGUCAUACGGUAAUUAAAGGCACUCAGAAACGUUGGUGUUGGUGGAACCUGGGAAGGAAAGUUGGAAGCAUAUGAAAAAGGGACAAGCACAAUUCUCAUCUUUUUUCCUUGCUAUCUUUUAUUCUGGCUUGCUAGUCACAAUCAGCUUUCGGCUGCAAGCCAACCCAGAAGAGAUCCAGUGUCUUCAAAAUAUAGGUUCUGCUUUGUUUUGGUUUUGGUUUGGUUUUUGAGACAGGGUCUCACUCUGUCACCCAGGCUGGAGUGCAGCGGCGUGAUCUUGGCUCACUGCAACCUCUGCCUUCUGGGUUCAAGUGAUUCUCCUGCCUCAGCCUCCUGAGUAGCCAAGGUUACAGGUGCCCACCACCAUGCGUGACUACUUUUUGUAUUUUUAGUAGAGACGAAGUUUUACCAUGUUGCCAGGCUGAUCUUGAACUCCUGACCUCAGGUGAUCCAUCCCCUUCAGCCUCCCCAAGUGCUGGGAUUACAGACAUGAGCCACAGCACUCAGCCCAAAAAACAGGCUGACCAAAAACACACUUGUGAUCUUAGAUUCAGCCCACUAGUAGAAGAUUCAGAGAGCGGUAGGGAGUGGGGUACAGGAUGUGACUUCCAGUCACCCCCACUUGGAAAAUUUCUGCCGACCUAAAGUCUAUAGUCUGAUAGGCAGAUUCGGGGUGUUUGAGAGGAGACUAGGUAAAGAAUAAAACCAAGUCAGGUUCCUGGUCAGGUGCUCAUCUUCAUGUAGCCUUCAAAGCCAGGAAGGAGGGCAUGCUAAACAAAGGCGCCCAGGAGCCAAGAGUGGAUGGACACGCUCCCCAGGCAUCUUGCUACACUGUUGGCAUUUUCCUGCAAGGCUACAUUUCUCCUGGAAGUUAGAGGUUUAAGAAGUUUAUUCGUUAUGGUUCCCUUUCUUUGGAAACAGAAGACCUGGUCACUCCAUUCCAUCUAAAUGAAAAUAGCUUUAAAUUAGACCUGAUAUUUGAUGCUUUUUUUUCUUCAUAUGAGUUGUUUGGCUGUGUGCUUAAUUUGCAGUGAAUCUGAGAGACCUAUUCUAAUAUCCUUGCCUACAUGAGAAAAAUUCAGUAUAAACUCAUUCCUUUCUGAAUCAUUGAGAGACUAUGGGUAUGAUAAAAUAUGGCAAUUACUCUACAGGUCAUAUUCAGAAUAUUAAUGUUUUUUAAAUGUGAAAUAAGCAGUGACAGGUGACACUGUGCAUUUCUUA